UUUGUGGUUAAUGAUGCAACUUCUUUCCCCGACUUAUCGACUAUGGUGAAACAGAUGUCUAAAAUAAGCCAUUUAUAUUCUGAAACCACAAA
Solea solea (common sole) is the source of this 92-nucleotide small nucleolar RNA. RefSeq annotates it as small nucleolar SNORD12/SNORD106. NCBI's taxonomy places the organism in Eukaryota, Metazoa, Chordata, Actinopteri, Pleuronectiformes, Soleidae. The record is from RefSeq and is a predicted model, not a curated record. The transcript has a single exon.